This is a non-coding RNA of Theobroma cacao (cacao), 737 nucleotides long. The record is from RefSeq and is a predicted model, not a curated record. NCBI's taxonomy places the organism in Eukaryota, Viridiplantae, Streptophyta, Magnoliopsida, Malvales, Malvaceae.
GGGUCUCUCUUCUUUUCAUUUUCUUUUUGCUCUUUUUCACUGCUCUUUUCUUUUUUGAUUUGUUUGUCUUUUUCAUACCCUUGCUUCCAGAAAUUUCUUCUCUUUUUCCCAGUUUGAUAUUUUGGUUUUCUGUUUUGCGACUCGUUUCUCUCGAUUUCUUGCUUCUGUUCGCGUUGACAAGCAGAGCAAUUGAGAAAAGAUGGGAACCAGAUCAUUUUGGGUUACCAUUGAUGUUCUGUAUUGAGAGACGAUUGUUGUCAAGGAUUUUGCUUGUUGAGCUUCUCUCUCGGCGUUGAUCAAAGGAUUCUGCUUGUUGAGCUUCUUCGAGUUGAUCAAGGCCUACUAAUUGACCACAGAUAAUUUUAUCAUAUAAUUUAAGAUAUUACUUUACGAGACAAAAGCAGAACAACUCGAAGCUUUAUCCAAAAGUUUAAAUUUGGGUGAAUAUCCAGGCUCAGGCUCCGUUGUUUAAGCAUUCAAGAGCUUCCUCCACGAUAAUUCUGGCACCCCUUGUAAUAGGUAUGCAUUUCCCUACACAAUUACUACUUUAGAUAAAAACCAAAUCAAGCUCACAGCAGAUUUCGUGAAUCCAUUUUAGAGUUUUGUGAGCAAGUUUUAGGAUUUGUUGAAUUGAUUUUGGGAUUUUGUUGAAUUAAUUUUAGGGUUUUGUUAAAUUGAUUUUAAGGUUUGCUGAAUCUGUUUUAAGGUUUAUGGAAUCGGUUUUAAAGUUUUGUUAA